GGAGCUGACCACGGUUCUUCUUCGCCUGCUCAGACUUUUUCUUGAAGUCAUCAGCCUCCCAGUGUGCACACAUAGCCUCCCAGGCUAAAUCGGAGACUAUGCGAGGCUGAUGAGCUCUGAUGGUGGUCCCGGGCUGGUCCAUAACUGCCCGGGCUGCCUUCUGUCGCAUCUCAUACAACCAUCCAGAGUAAUUCGCAGCGACGUGAUGCUCAAUCACAGCAUCGCCAGCUGACUGAGAGAUGCUCGGGUCAAAUCGAUAAUAAAC
Molecule: long non-coding RNA, 265 nt
Filed under: Panax ginseng (ginseng)
Lineage: Eukaryota; Viridiplantae; Streptophyta; Magnoliopsida; Apiales; Araliaceae
Description: long non-coding RNA (PGIN_LNC005346)
Source: RNAcentral